AUCCAUACUGAAACCUAGUGAUGUAUGGAUUAGUGGCGGACGGGUGAGUAACGCGUGGAUAACCUGCCGUAUACAGGGGGAUAACACUUAGAAAUAGGUGCUAAUACCGCAUAAGCGCACGGUUCCGCAUGGAACAGUGUGAAAAACUCCGGUGGUAUACGAUGGAUCCGCGUCUGAUUAGCCAGUUGGUGGGGUAACGGCCCACCAAAGCGACGAUCAGUAGCCGGCCUGAGAGGGUGAACGGCCACAUUGGGACUGAGACACGGCCCAAACUCCUACGGGAGGCAGCAGUGGGGAAUAUUGCACAAUGGGGGAAACCCUGAUGCAGCGACGCCGCGCGAGUGAAGAAGUAUUUCGGUACGUAAAGCUCUAUCAGCAGGGAAGAAAAAAAGUCCUUUGGACUUUGGACGGUACCUGACCAAGAAGCCCCGGCUAACUACGUGCCAGCAGCCGCGGUAAUACGUAGGGGGCAAGCGUUAUCCGGAUUUACUGGGUGUAAAGGGAGCGUAGACGGCAGCGCAAGUCUGGAGUGAAAUGCCGGGGCCCAACCCCGGAACUGCUUUGGAAACUGUGCAGCUCGAGUGCAGGAGAGGUAAGCGGAAUUCCUAGUGUAGCGGUGAAAUGCGUAGAUAUUAGGAGGAACACCAGUGGCGAAGGCGGCUUACUGGACUGUAACUGACGUUGAGGCUCGAAAGCGUGGGGAGCAAACAGGAUUAGAUACCCUGGUAGUCCACGCCGUAAACGAUGAUUACUAGGUGUCGGGGGGCCAAG
Molecule: ribosomal RNA, 771 nt
Filed under: uncultured bacterium
Lineage: Bacteria
Description: bacterial SSU rRNA
Rfam family: Bacterial small subunit ribosomal RNA
Source: RNAcentral